UACGGAGGGUGCAAGCAUUGAUCGGAAUUACUGGGCGUAAAGGGCGCGUAGGCGGUUUUGAAAGUCAGAUGUGAAAUUCCGGGGCUCAACCCCGGAGCUGCAUUUGAGACUUCAGAGCUAGAGGUCAGUUAGGGAAAACGGAAUUCCACGUGUAGCGGUGAAAUGCGUAGAUAUGUGGAAGAACACCAGUGGUGAAGACGGUUUUCUGGGCUGAUACUGACGCUGAGGCGCGAAAGCAAGGGGAGCAAACAGGAUUAGAUACCCUGGUAGUCCUUGCCGUAAACGAUGCAUACUAGAUGUAGAGAGGCUCAACCCUUUCUGUAUCGGAGCUAACGCAUUAAGUAUGCCGCCUGGGGAGUACGCUCGCAAGGGUGAAACCCAAAA
Molecule: ribosomal RNA, 384 nt
Filed under: uncultured bacterium
Lineage: Bacteria
Description: bacterial SSU rRNA
Rfam family: Bacterial small subunit ribosomal RNA
Source: RNAcentral